RNAcentral lists this ribosomal RNA (498 nucleotides) under uncultured bacterium. Its description in RNAcentral is "partial 16S ribosomal RNA". It matches the Rfam family "Bacterial small subunit ribosomal RNA", at positions 28 to 508 of the family's 1533-position model. The record is from RNAcentral.
GAUGAACGCUGGCGGCGUGCCUAAUACAUGCAAGUCGAGCGAACGGACGAGAAGCUUGCUUCUCUGAUGUUAGCGGCGGACGGGUGAGUAACACGUGGAUAACCUACCUAUAAGACUGGGAUAACUUCGGGAAACCGUAGCUAAUACCGGAUAAUAUUUUGAACCGCAUGGUUCAAAAGUGAAAGACGGUCUUGCUGUCACUUAUAGAUGGAUCCGCGCUGCAUUAGCUAGUUGGUAAGGUAACGGCUUACCAAGGCAACGAUGCAUAGCCGACCUGAGAGGGUAAUCGGCCACACUGGAACUGAGACACGGUCCAGACUCCUACGGGAGGCAGCAGUAGGGAAUCUUCCGCAAUGGGCGAAAGCCUGACGGAGCAACGCCGCGUGAGUGAUGAAGGUCUUCGGAUCGUAAAACUCUGUUAUUAGGGAAGAACAUAUGUGUAAGUAACUGUGCACAUCUUGACGGUACCUAAUCAGAAAGCCACGGCUAACUACGUGC